Molecule: non-coding RNA, 504 nt
Organism: Cinara cedri
Lineage: Eukaryota; Metazoa; Arthropoda; Insecta; Hemiptera; Aphididae
Source: the annotation of a GenBank genome assembly
AUAAUUUUAUUAAUUUAUAAAUCAUUGUUUAUAGAAAAACAGCCUUGUUUUACACAAUAUUUGUAAGUGGAACUAUAAUAGUUUAUUUGUACAAAUAUGUUCAUACUAAAAUAACUUUGUUUAAAAAUCUAAAAACUAACAUAUACAAUAUUGUAAUUUUAAUUAUACAUAAUCUACCUUGGAAAAUGUGAAAAAUUCAAUCGGCUGAGGACGCAAAUUGAAAGAACUUAAGAAAAUUUAAUAGAUAGGGAAUGACAGAUGAUGCGGAAUGUGAGUGUGGAGAGAAAUAAACAGCAAGCCAUCUGCUUAAGUGUAUAUUGGCACCUAGUAGAUGAGUGAUGAAAGACCUCAUUGGACUAAUUGAAUUUACAGACGAAAUGAUGAAAAUCAUUGAAUAUUGGGAAAAAGAAGGAUUGUAAUUUAAUAAGAAAUACUGAUCGGAACGAGAAGAAGAUAUGUGUUAUAAUUAAUAUAUCAAAAACAUUACAUAUCAAAAUAGUGGUU